CAACUACGGGGGGCAGCAGUAGGGAAUUUUCGUCAAUGGGCGCAAGCCUGAACGAGCAAUGCCGCGUGAACGAGGAAGGUCUUCGGAUCGUAAAGUUCUGUUGAAGGGGAAAAAGAGCGGAGAGAGGAAAUGAACUCCGAUUGAUAUUACCCUUCGAGGAAGUCACGGCUAACUACGUGCCAGCAGCCGCGGUAAUACGUAGGUGGCGAGCGUUAUCCGGAAUGAUUGGGCGUAAAGGGUGCGUAGGCGGCCCGCUAAGUCUGGAGUGAAAGGUACCGGCCCAACAGGUACAGGCGCUGGAACCU
This 305-nucleotide ribosomal RNA is filed under the name uncultured bacterium. Its description in RNAcentral is "bacterial SSU rRNA". It matches the Rfam family "Bacterial small subunit ribosomal RNA", at positions 335 to 634 of the family's 1533-position model. The record is from RNAcentral.